RNAcentral lists this ribosomal RNA (505 nucleotides) under uncultured bacterium. Its description in RNAcentral is "partial 16S ribosomal RNA". It matches the Rfam family "Bacterial small subunit ribosomal RNA", at positions 28 to 507 of the family's 1533-position model. The record is from RNAcentral.
GACGAACGCUGGCGGCGUACCUAAUACAUGCAAGUAGAACGCACAGUUUAUACCGUAGCUUGCUACACCAUAGACUGUGAGUUGCGAACGGGUGAGUAACGCGUAGGUAACCUGCCUGGUAGCGGGGGAUAACUAUUGGAAACGAUAGCUAAUACCGCAUAAUAUUGAUUAUUGCAUGAUAAUUGAUUGAAAGAUGCUAUUGCAUCACUACCAGAUGGACCUGCGUUGUAUUAGCUAGUAGGUGAGGUAACGGCUCACCUAGGCGACGAUACAUAGCCGACCUGAGAGGGUGAUCGGCCACACUGGGACUGAGACACGGCCCAGACUCCUACGGGAGGCAGCAGUAGGGAAUCUUCGGCAAUGGACGAAAGUCUGACCGAGCAACGCCGCGUGAGUGAAGAAGGUUUUCGGAUCGUAAAGCUCUGUUGUAAGAGAAGAACGGGUGUGAGAGUGGAAAGUUCACACUGUGACGGUAGCUUACCAGAAAGGGACGGCUAACUACGUG